Non-coding RNA from Gasterosteus aculeatus aculeatus (three-spined stickleback), 3155 nucleotides. Lineage: Eukaryota; Metazoa; Chordata; Actinopteri; Perciformes; Gasterosteidae. The record is from RefSeq and is a predicted model, not a curated record.
UAAAAUGGGUUCGCCCCCAAUGGCAACGUGUUACUACAGUGGUCUAAAUGAUGUAGAGAAAGAUCUAACAAGGAGCUCUGCGCUGAUCCAAUCUGACCAUUGGAGAUGACACACAUCUGUCCGUCAUCUCCAGGUGUGGUCGUCCUCCCUCCUUUAGGUCUGGCGGCGUGCCGUCGCGGAGCAUCACUUUCAAGCUCUGCCUUUGUUCCAUUUCGACGGCGAUAAAUAAAGCGCGCGUCGGAGCGUCGACCCGCGCAUCGGCGGAACAACACAUCGGCUCCGUGACGCGCGUUGACGCGGCAGCCGGACGAGCAGACGCGGGCUGGUGCGCGUGCUGUGUGCGGACCGCGUUACGUAACCGCGAUGGAACGCGCGAGCUGUGCACAAGGACGGGAUGAACGGACACACACCUUCCUCCUGUUAGCAAACGGUUGAAAAAACCCAAAACGGUUGGACCGGGAAACGCAUCGCGAGGCCGAACACAGUGUUCUGGGAUACGCGACGCACUUCCGCCCCGCCGUCCAGCCAAUCAGGAGCCUCCGACUCGCUGUGACGCUGCAGCCAGACAACACGUCACACCGCCGGUGUUCAUGCGGGAUAAGGACCGAGGAGUCCUUCACCUACACGUUCAACUUUAACCCCGGACCAGCAUCGUGACACUCUGGCUUGUAACGAGCUGAUAAGUUACAAAACGUGUGUAUUAAUGGAGUUUUCCUGUAAUGUGUCUGUCCAACAGAAAAUGCAUUGACCUAUUAUUGUAGUGUAAUAUCACUUUAAUCUCUAUGGUGGGAUCAGGCCACACAAAUCUGCAUUUAUGUAGUAUUUCAUCUUUCAGAACUGCAACUAGUGUUGGAGAAAUACUAUAAUAUGUAUAUGUAUACCCAUGGCGUAUUAUUAUACGCAAAGAACCCCAACUAAACUGUAAUGAUUGUAGUGUACGUCUCAUACGUGAUAAUAUUUUUUGUAAUAUUUGUCAGAUAAACUAUUCUUUCAAAGUUCAAAGUUAGUUUUAACAAAAAUAUUUAAUUGAACUCAAUAUUACCAAUUAUGCUCUCUAAAAUAAUCUUCCAGUCCAUUUUUAACAUAAUUAGUAUCAGAAAACUUCUGGGAGGUUAUUAGGAAAUUGCAGACCUGUAAUAUAAAAGAACUUUGUUCGAAAUCCACGGAUUAGAUCUCACAAAAUCUUGAUGAAUCAACAUGUAUGUAAUAUAUUGUUCAUUACUUCAAACAAAAUCUCCCAACAUGUUACUUUUGUGAUUAGUUGGAGAGAUAUUCUCUGCACUUUUCAAAAACGAUUGUGCACUAAAAAAUGUUUUAUGUAUGUGACAACUCCCAAUAAUGUUGAAUUGUCUCCCAAAGCCAGCGUGUUACUGAAUGAAGCAAAAGAAAAGAAAAGUAAUUUACCACUUUUUUCAUCCCUCAGAUGAAGGCAGCCCAAAUAAUACAAAAUAAAAAAAAAAGUCUGUGAAAAUGAGUACAAAAGCCAUUUAAUCUCUCUCAUCUUCCUCUUAAUAACUGCAAAUUUCCCCCUGGGCCCGUGGGAGAGGGCCUCUCUGUGCCGCUGCCACCUUAUCUGUCGCCUCCAUAUUUCGGCGGGCUGAGCGGCUCCCUCAGUACCCAGCCCCCGGCCUCCUCUCGCUGGAGCCUGUGGGGAAGUCUGGCUCCUGGGCCCACCAUUGUUCUGGCCUGGGAGGAAAGUCCAGAGAGAGCCCCGAAAGCUGGAGAAAGGGAAUAUAAAAAAAACUGAAAGAAAACUUGAGCCACUGCUUCAUUAAGCGGCAGCCUUUCACAAGCAAACAUAUCAGAAACAUCCCCCCCCUUUCAGAAGCAGUAAUUAGCAAUUUGGAAACCUUUCCCCCUCAGGAUAUACAGUUUCAAUUUAGUCAGCAGCUUUAGAUUCUUAGGCACUUAAUAUUCAUUGUUUCUACCAUCUUCCCAAUUUCUCGACGCACAUUGUCUCGUCUUUCACUGGAGAUAAAGUGUUUUAUCUUUCAUGUAAUUCUUCUUUUCAAUGAGCCCGCUGCAAGAGAAGUUAAUUUUUAUAAAUACUUUUUCAAAGGGAUUUCCAAAGAAUGUGAGGGAUACGAUAGCAAAGUGCUCUUCAGGAAGUGCCAGGCUGAAUAUCACAUUGAGGUUUCUCUUGAUUGAUUAAGUCUGGCUGCGGAAAAGUUCCACUCAGGAGUUUUUUAGCAGAGGAAACCUCUGCAACUAAUGACAUGCAUCAAAACGUAACGGGUUUUCAAGUUGAAACAACCAUGUCUGAUAAGUGGCAUGCAGAUAUUUCAGGAGAGAUACGACACAUCUUCCGUUUGCGUUGUUUGCAGUGUGACUCCACUGUGUUUGUAUUGGCACCGUAAACCCUUUGCAUGGAUUUAAUGGCAAUGUUUGCAAACUGCUUAUUAAGCCAAAUCACAUAUUGUACCUCAGGAGGGGUGGGGGGGGGCAAGACUGGCACUUAUCUUUGCCACCAUGGAGUCUUUGUUUCAAAAUGCCGCCACUUCCAUUCAUUUCCAAUCCGCAUUGUCUAAUGGAAAUAAUUGAUUUCUGCCUCUUUUCCACAAAUGAAAAACGCUUGUGAUUAAACAUUUUGUCUCCAAAUCUAAAUUCCAAGAUACCCAUCAACACUCGAGGUAACUCAUUAAAGCGAAAAGAAAAAAAAAAAAAGAAAGAAGUUGCUAAGACGAGAAGAAGAGGAGGCAGGGAAUGAAAUAAUGAAUGGAGUCCGAGUGAGCUAUCUCUCCCAGGCAGAGCGCCACUAGGGAUGCAAACUCUCAGCCACCAGAAAUGAGCUACCUAUCUGUGAAAGGAGUGACUGCUCCAUCCUAUUUGAUUUGGCUCCCCUAUCAUCUCUUAAGAAGAUGUCAGCCUUGCUUCUUCUAUUGCCUUUAUCAACCCGGAGACGAUUUCCCUGCAAAAAAAAAAAACGGUUCAGUGCCUUUUCAAAGAGCAACACUAAAGAAUAAGUGUUAUGCGAUAAAAAAAGGGGGGUUGUUAAAUAGAUCUGUCUAUUUGUAUGGUAAUAAUGAUCGCUUAAAGACUCGGGGCGCCGUGACUUGUAAAACAAGGGAAACAAAUCUGUAUUCAGGUAACGUGUUAACGCGACUAUCCGACGACCUUGUGAAAGUUUCACAGUAAAAAAUGAGUUGGAUUCUCAA